This 545-nucleotide ribosomal RNA is filed under the name uncultured Glomeromycotina. RNAcentral describes it as "SSU rRNA". It matches the Rfam family "Eukaryotic small subunit ribosomal RNA", at positions 548 to 1098 of the family's 1831-position model. The record is from RNAcentral. Lineage: Eukaryota; Fungi; Glomeromycota.
UUGGAGGGCAAGUCUGGUGCCAGCAGCCGCGGUAAUUCCAGCUCCAAUAGCGUAUAUUAAAGUUGUUGCAGUUAAAAAGCUCGUAGUUGAAUUUCGGGGUUCUACCGUUGGUCGGGCUUUGUCUGUACUGGUGUGUAGAAUUUCUACCUAAAAAGGGAACCAUCAUGCUAUUAAUUUAGCGUGGUGGGAAACCAGGACCUUUACCUUGAAAAAAUUAGUGUGUUCAAAGCAGGCUUAUGUCUGAAUACAUUAGCGUGGAAUAAUAGAAUAGGACGGUGGUCCUGUUUUGUUGGUUUCUGAAUCACCGUAAUGAUUAAUAGGGAUAGUUGGGGGCAUUAGUAUUCAAUUGUCAGAGGUGAAAUUCUUGGAUUUAUUGAAGACUAACUUCUGCGAAAGCAUUUGCCAAGGAUGUUUUCAUUAAUCAAGGACGAAAGUUAGGGGAUCGAAGACGAUCAGAUACCGUCGUAGUCUUAACCAUAAACUAUGCCGACUAGGGAUCGGACGAUGUUAAUUUUUCUUGACUCGUUCGGCGCCUUACGGGAAAC